This 497-nucleotide ribosomal RNA is filed under the name uncultured bacterium. RNAcentral describes it as "partial 16S ribosomal RNA". It matches the Rfam family "Bacterial small subunit ribosomal RNA", at positions 28 to 507 of the family's 1533-position model. The record is from RNAcentral.
GACGAACGCUGGCGGCGUGCCUAAUACAUGCAAGUAGAACGCUGAAGAGAGGAGCUUGCUCUUCUUGGAUGAGUUGCGAACGGGUGAGUAACGCGUAGGUAACCUGCCUGGUAGCGGGGGAUAACUAUUGGAAACGAUAGCUAAUACCGCAUGAAAUUGCUUAUCGCAUUAUAAUUGAUUGAAAGAUGCAAUUGCAUCACUACCAGAUGGACCUGCGUUGUAUUAGCUAGUUGGUGAGGUAACGGCUCACCAAGGCGACGAUACAUAGCCGACCUGAGAGGGUGGUCGGCCGCACUGGGACGGAGACACGGCCCAGACGCCUACGGGGGGCAGCAGUAGGGAAACGUCGGGCAGGGGGGGAACCCUGACCGAGCAACGCCGAGUGAGUGAAGAAGGUUGUCGGAUCGUAAAGCUCGGUUGUAAGGGAAGAAAGGGUGUGAGAGUGGAAAGUUCACACUGUGACGGUAUCUUACCAGAAAGGGACGGCUAACUACGUG